AUUUGAUCAGGUUAUCCAAAUUUCUUCUUCCUUUAGUACUUUGGAAAACUGCAAAUCACAUGAAGCUUCUUUCAUGGACGCUUUUUUCCAGUUGAAGGUUGAUAUGGGUGCCCAUCGUUGUCUCCAAGAGACGAGAUAGUAAUCACUUUUCUAUCGGCUUUAUCACUUUUUAAAUGCCUUUAAUUUUAAGAUGAUUCGAGGAUUAUAGUUGGCCGCUGCUUUUCCCAUUUAAACAACAUAACACCUAAAUCAAGUUUCAUUUUAAUUUCUUGAUUUGCAAGCCUCUCAAGUCCCAUUCUCUCUGCUCCGGCACGGGCACACAGGAACACCCACACGUGUGCAAGUGUGAAAUAGAUGAGGAGGGAAGAAGAAAAGAGAUGGGCUUCAGUUGACAAUGAAGUAAGAAGAGAAAGGGAAAACCCCACAAGUGAAGUGAGAGUUAUUUGAGUUUAUAGUUCGUACAAGAAGAUGGCGACUCUCAAUCUAAUAAGGGCCAUAUGUAUUGGUCACGUCUUGUAGCUUCUUAAAGAGAUUAAACAUUAUCUUAAG
This 549-nucleotide unclassified non-coding RNA is filed under the name Hevea brasiliensis (rubber tree). The record is from RNAcentral. Lineage: Eukaryota; Viridiplantae; Streptophyta; Magnoliopsida; Malpighiales; Euphorbiaceae.